RNAcentral lists this ribosomal RNA (459 nucleotides) under uncultured bacterium. RNAcentral describes it as "partial 16S ribosomal RNA". It matches the Rfam family "Bacterial small subunit ribosomal RNA", at positions 338 to 795 of the family's 1533-position model. The record is from RNAcentral.
CCUACGGGAGGCAGCAGUGAGGAAUAUUGGUCAAUGGACGAGAGUCUGAACCAGCCAAGUAGCGUGAAGGAUGACUGCCCUAUGGGUUGUAACCCUCUUUUGUCGGGGAGCAAAAGACGCCACGCGUGUCGUUCCGAGAUUACCCGAAGAAAAAGCAUCGGCUAACUCCGUGCCAGCAGCCGCGGUAAUACGGAGGAUGCGAGCGUUAGCCGGAUUUAUUGGUUUGAAUGGGUGCGCAGGCGGAAGAUCAAGUCAGCGGUAAAAUUGAGAGGCUCAACCUCUUCGAGCCGUUGAAACUGGUUGUCUGGAGUGAGUGAGAAGUAUGCUGAAUGCGUGGUGUAGCGGUGAAAUGCAUAGAUAUCACGCAGAACUCCGAUUGCGAAGGCAGCAUACCGGCGCUCAACUGACGCUCAUGCACGAAAGUGUGGGUAUCGAACAGGAUUAGAUACCCCUGUAGUC